GGAUAUGAACCCAGGCAGCCUGGCUCUUGAAUCAAUGUGGGUUCUCUGGGGAGUUUUACUUUAUCAAAGACAGAAAAGAGAGCUAAAAGUUGACCCUAGUUUCUCAGCUGUAAAGGAAGCUCUUUAAAAAUUUCAAAGUAGCAUACAUGGUGGCAGUGACUCUGAGCUGCAGAAACAGUGCUGGAUUUUCCAGGCAGAAGAGGUUGAUAAUGAAAUGGUUGAGGGGACUGUAUUUUGUAAUGACUGAAGGCAAGAGGAGAAAAACCAAAUUUUGAACCUCAAAGCUGAGGGGGACUAGGACCCUUGGUAGGUGUUGAAUUCUAGGGCAGUGAUUCACCAGGACAAAGGGCAGUGACUGCUUAAGAUACUAAUUCAGUGUCAAAUAACUCAUGUGAAAGAACUCUUCUUUUUUCAACACUUUUAAACCCCUAGUGAAUGCAGUUUACCAGGAUGGGAGCAAUACUGAAGGCUUGCGGUGCCCAUCUGUCCGUUUGCCUUGUCCUUUUGUGACAUCUUGACCCACUUUUUCAGCUUGUCUUGGACAGUAGAACACACUCCUGGGGCCCGGAGGCCUCUUCCAACCAAGUAAUAUUUCUUUGGUGGAAAAAAACUUAACGGCACUGUUGGUUUGGUGACAAACCUGGAGUGAGGUCACUUUGAAGCCAUGUGGACUUGGAUGAGGGCCUGCAAACAAAAUCCAGCAAGAUGAAGGGAAGUGGUAUACUCUGAAACACCAGUUUUGUGUCCCUUUAGUCGGGAGCUGACAAUAUUAUUUUGGGGGUGUUGGGCACCAACAGAGCCCAUUGAAUCCACAUGACUCGGCCGAUAGGGGAGCACACACGUCACCAUACCCGCUGUCCAGGAAUCAGAGGAGGAGGUGCCCUGGGGUGAAGCCUGGGCCACAGCCCCGGUUAGCAGCUCUGCAGGCAUCUUACCUUGGAAACAGCACAGCUUGGCUUCCGUGUCAUCGCUGAGUUCAGAGAAUCCUAGUUUCACCGUGUCCUCAGUAGAGACCAGAGAACCAGGUUUGUUCCUUCAAGAAGUGUCCCAGUGCCUUGGAAUUCAGCAGCUGUUUCCAGAAGUAAAUAAUCAUGCCAGAUGCCUGUGAAUGGACUGUAUGGCCAAGUGCCCCGUCGCGAUAUUCAUGGAAGAAUGGUUUAAAAAAACAAAACAAAACUGAAGAAAAGGCAAAUUUCAAGAAUCGGCCCAAUGCCAUUUAGGAUUUUUGAGCAGCUGAAAGAAGAUAGUUCUGCAAAUAUGAGCAACAAGACUCUAGCAUAUUUCUUUACAUGUUUCUUACACUGUCUUUGUUAACCCAUUGCUUUUGUGUAUAAUAUUUGAGUUAUUUUCCCCUGCUGCUAAAGCUGGUAAUCUGCUUACGAUCAGAGUUUCAAUCUGUGUGGAUACAGAAAUAGUAGAUACAGUAGGAGAAAUGGGAGCUUAUAACAGGAUGUUGGCCCUCAGAAAUUGACUUUCACUGAAGAAUUCCUCAAGGCACAGGAUGUUGAGAAACUGCUUCUUCUCAGUGAUUGUCAAAGCUUUGCGGCUUUAGGUUCAUCUUCCUUUAUCUUCCUCUCAGCCUCUGUGUGUGCCUGCUUUUUUUUCUUGCACAGUUUUUUGGACCGAAAAUCUGAUGACUGUAUUUUUUCAGCUUAAAAAUAAAGAGUUAUAUGAAUUACA
Molecule: long non-coding RNA, 1680 nt
Organism: Eubalaena glacialis (North Atlantic right whale)
Lineage: Eukaryota; Metazoa; Chordata; Mammalia; Artiodactyla; Balaenidae
Exons: 2
Source: RefSeq, a predicted model, not a curated record